GUCUGAAUAGUUUAAUUUAAAAUGCUGAUUUGUGGUGUCGGUGAUGUAGUUUUAUUGCUUUGGACU
RNAcentral lists this transfer RNA (66 nucleotides) under Heterotermes sp. SLC-2012. RNAcentral's name for it is "tRNA-His". Lineage: Eukaryota; Metazoa; Arthropoda; Insecta; Blattodea; Rhinotermitidae. The record is from RNAcentral.